UACAGAGGGGGCAAGCGUUGUUCGGAAUUACUGGGCGUAAAGGGCUCGUAGGCGGCCAACUAAGUCCGACGUGAAAUCCCCAGGCUUAACCUGGGAACUGCGUCGGAUACUGGAUGGCUUGAAUCCGGGAGAGGGAUGCGGAAUUCCAGGUGUAGCGGUGAAAUGCGUAGAUAUCUGGAGGAACACCGGUGGCGAAGGCGGCAUCCUGGACCGGCAUUGACGCUGAGGAGCGAAAGCCAGGGGAGCAAACGGG
RNAcentral lists this ribosomal RNA (253 nucleotides) under uncultured bacterium. RNAcentral describes it as "partial 16S ribosomal RNA". It matches the Rfam family "Bacterial small subunit ribosomal RNA", at positions 524 to 776 of the family's 1533-position model. The record is from RNAcentral.